GACGAACGCUGGCGGCGUGCUUAACACAUGCAAGUCGAACGGACAGGCCCUGCUCUUGCGGGGUGCUUGAGUGGCGCACGGGUGAGUAACACGCGAGUAUCCUGCCCCUGACUUUGGGAUAACUCCAGGAAACAGGGGCUCAUACCGGAUAGGAUCUCUUGCUGCACGGUGGGGGUUGGAAAGUUUCGGUGGUUGGGGAUGGUAUCGCGGGUUAUCAGCUUCUUGGUGAGGUAGUGGCUUUCAAAGGCUUCGACGGGUAGGCGACCUGGGAGGCGGACCGGCGACAUUGGGACUGAGGUACGGCCCAGAAUCCUACGGGAGGCAACGGGGGAGAGUAUUACGGAAUAGGGGGAAGCCUGAUGCAGAGACGCCGCGUGCGGAAUGACGGGCUACGAGGUGUAAACCGCUUUCGCCGGUAACGAGGCGUGAGUGACGGUAAUGAGUAAGGAAGCACCGGCUAACUACGUG
This 468-nucleotide ribosomal RNA is filed under the name uncultured bacterium. Its description in RNAcentral is "partial 16S ribosomal RNA". It matches the Rfam family "Bacterial small subunit ribosomal RNA", at positions 28 to 507 of the family's 1533-position model. The record is from RNAcentral.